GACUUCUCGCCUCACCUGAACGGGGGCAGGUGGGCCCGGGGCUGCUCCGGGGCGGGCGGGCGGCGGCGGCGCGGCGCUAACGGCUCCGCUCGGCCUCGGUAGCGACGGUAGCGGCAGCGGCGACGGCGACGGCGGCGGCGGCAGCGGCGGCUCCUCCUCAGCGCGCACGACCCGCUCCGGCCCGCGGCCCGGACACUCCCCCCCGGCGCACGCGCCCAUUGGUCAGUGUCCGCCACGGCGUGCUGUUCAUUGGUCGGUGUGGCUGUCGCUGCACCCUGGGGCGCGCGGCGGAGGCGGGACUUCCGGUCGGCGCCUCCUGAGAAGGGCCUGGCGGCCACCGGAGACACAGGUGGCCAGCGAUGGCCGCGGAGAGGUUGAGCUGGGGCCAGGGCCCCGGAGGCCGACUAGAGGCAGCGGCCCAGAAGAGGCGCUCCUUGUCCAACGCUUGUCGUGUGCCCCACAUUUGCCCAUCCCACCGCCGCUGCCGCCCAGCAAGGUAGGAGCGGUCAGCGCGCCAAGGAGAUGGGAACAGGACCCGGGUUCUAAUCCCGGGUCCCGACGUUUCCGCACUACGUGCAGUUAGGCUGACGUCACUUCGCCAGGACUCAGUUUCUUUCAGGGACUCAACAGUCACACAUUGCCAGUUGCUGCUGCAUCAGAACUUACAGUGCUAGAUAGGGAGGCAGACAAGAAAUCAGUGGAUUCCACCUCCAGUGGUGAAUUGGAUUGAACUGAGGCCCUGCACAUGCCCGGCAAGCUGAGCGACAUCCCAGUGCUUGAUCUUAUCCUUACUGCUAAUAAUAAUGAGGGACCCCAAUGGCUACAGUCUACAGAGACCACGCCAGAAAAGCUGUGGGGUGGCUAGGGAAAGCUUGCCUUGUCAGUGUCGCUGUUGAGGCACCAGGGAGGAGAAUAUUUCAGGCAGAAAGAAUAGCAAUGCAGGGCUAGGGAUUUAGCUCAGUGGUUCCGGCGCCUGCCGCGCAAGCACAAGGUCCUGAGUUUGAUCCCCGGUACCAAAAAAAAAAAAAAAAAAAGAAUAGCAGUGCCAAGUACAGCAGCACUCUUGUAAUCCUGGCUGCUCAGGAGGCUGAGGCAGGAGGAGGCCAGCCUGGGCAACUUAGACCCUGCGCAUCAGUCGCCUUGCUGUCAGUGGGGACAGAAUACCUGACAUACACAGCUCAAAGGACAAAAGAUUGAUUUGGGAUCACGGUUGCAGAAGUUUCAGUCCAUGGUCAGACAUGUUUCUGGCUCCAGG
RNAcentral lists this long non-coding RNA (1255 nucleotides) under Heterocephalus glaber (naked mole-rat). RNAcentral describes it as "lncRNA (ENSHGLG00100046242.1)". Lineage: Eukaryota; Metazoa; Chordata; Mammalia; Rodentia; Bathyergidae. The record is from RNAcentral.